This 253-nucleotide ribosomal RNA is filed under the name uncultured bacterium. RNAcentral describes it as "partial 16S ribosomal RNA". It matches the Rfam family "Bacterial small subunit ribosomal RNA", at positions 524 to 776 of the family's 1533-position model. The record is from RNAcentral.
UACGGAGGGGGCGAGCGUUGUUCGGAAUUACUGGGCGUAAAGGGCGCGUAGGCGGAGAUCCAAGUCAGAGGUGAAAGGCCCGGGCUUAACCUGGGAAUUGCCUUUGAAACUGGAUGUCUUGAGACCGGAAGAGGUGAGCGGAAUUCCCAGUGUAGAGGUGAAAUUCGUAGAUAUUGGGAAGAACACCGGUGGCGAAGGCGGCUCACUGGUCCGGUUCUGACGCUGAGGCGCGAAAGCGUGGGGAGCAAACAGG